AAAUUCUUCACCGAUUUUAUCGACCAUUUUGUCCAUUAAACCAAAAUAAUACUUAGCAAUAUGAGAGGUAACACUGCUAGCAUCAAUGGAUUUUUUAAAAACAAUACCUCUUGUGCUAUAAAUUAAGAAAUUGAUUAUAUGUUGAUUAGUUGUCCCUUUCCACCCAUCACACAUAAUGGUCACCCCUCUUUCUUCCUAUAUAGGCCUAAAGCUAUUUACCCAUUCUUGUAUCUAUUUAUACUCAUCUUCCAAAUACACUCUUGUCACCUUAUAAGCUGAAGGACCCCUAACCAAUUUUCCAACUUUCGCUGCAACUAGAAGUACAAGUUGGAGAAAUGAUGACUCUGCAAGAAUUGCAGGUAAAGCUUCAUGUAAUAUCACUUUGGACAUUGUUUUCCCUAGCUUAGCUUUUGCAUUUUUAAGAAAGCUCGAAUUAAGUUUUGAUUGCUUCGAACUUUUUUAUCUUUCAAGAACAGGAUCCAUGUUUGCUAAUCUUGCUCUAGGAGAGUCAAGAUUAGCCCAUUGAUGUUCCCUCCCACUUCUUUCAGAAUUACGAACAGUAAAUGAUCGUCUAAUUCCUUGAGUUCCAGAAUUACUACCUCCUUCCAUUUCAAAAAUUGAAUCUUGACCGAUUCUUACUCUUCGACGUUGCCUUUCUUCCCAUUCAACUUGAGAUCUCAUACUCUCACAUCUUGUGAUAGUUAACUCAUCAUCAUCAUCAUCAUCACCACUAUCACCAUAGGCUACACGGUCUCCUAAUCUUAUUUUUUCCUCUAAUUCUUUUUUCCUCCUUUGCUUCGUAGCUUUUUCACUACGAUAUUCUUGAAGCUGUUGUGCAAUGGUUUUUCUAACUUCUGCCAAGACAUGUGAACAAGGUACUACAUUCCUUUUUUUUUUUUUUGCAGCCAAAUGCUCUUUCAACCGUGUUACUCCUCUUUUAAUAAUUCUUCCACAAAAUCUGCAUUUGACAUUAUUAUGAUUACCUUCAACAGGUUCUCCUCACCUCCAACCAUAAUCUUCACUGGGAGCAGCAUCUUCUUUAUUUCUUGAGCGUGGCAUUUUUUUCUUAUAUCUGCAUGAAAAUUAUUAUUAAUCAUUACUUGAGUUCAAACCAACUAGUAAAAGAUUCAUAAAAAUGAAACAAAAUUGUAGGACUUAAAACUAACAAUAAAAAAUAUUCACCAAAAUGAAACAAAAAUGAUAAGGCUUAAAAUUAAAAAAUGAAACAAAAAUAAUAAGACUUAAAACUACAAAAAUGAAACAAAAAUAAUAAGAUUUAAAACUCUAACAACAGAAACACUGCUAUUAAGACUUAAAACUAAAAAAUGGAAAAAAUUAUAAGACCUAUAAUUAAUAAUACAAAAGAUUCACAAAAAUAUAAAACUUAUUAUUAACACUACAAAAUAUUUACAAAAAUUCAAAUAAAAUUCAAUAUAAAUAUAACUAAUUAUUAAUUAAAUAUGUAAAAAUAAUAAUUACAUAGAAACUCUAAAUUCAACUAGUAAGACAAAUAUAUUAUUUAAACUAAGUAAUAAACAAAAUAAUAAUAUUUUAAAAAUAAUAAUUACAUAACUUGUAUUUCUUGUCUUACAAAUGAGUUGAGAUGAUAUCGAUUCCUCACUAUUAACUCAAGAACACAACUCUUGAAAUAGAAAACAGAAGAAAUAGCUCUUGAAAUGUUGAAGAAAAUAGUUGAGAGGAUUUGAAAUUCAAUACUCCUGCUCUUUCACCCGAAAAUGUUAUUUGUAGUAGACUAGUAAUGUAAAAAAAGAAUUUGAAACCUUUACAAUUUUU
This 1794-nucleotide long non-coding RNA is filed under the name Gossypium barbadense (sea-island cotton). Its description in RNAcentral is "long non-coding RNA (GBAR_LNC012378)". The record is from RNAcentral. Lineage: Eukaryota; Viridiplantae; Streptophyta; Magnoliopsida; Malvales; Malvaceae.